UCAUUGCACACACAUGAAUGUUGCAGUAAACCCCGGUUUAGGCGAACCAAAACAUUGUCCCCUCCAACUUGUCCCGGUCGGGCCUCUUCUUCUUCGGGAGCUCCUUUCCUUCCUUCGCGGGGGAGGGGGGCCGCGAACGGAGCAAGGGGUCCGCCCCCGGGAGUAACCACGUCGAUUGCGCAAUGCAUCAACACUUACUAUUGACUGAGUCCCGAAAUACUUUGUGGAGUUGGUGGUGUUCGCAUCGCCGACUCCCUAGUUGAAAUAACCAAAAACAACUCUCAGCAACGGAUAUCUUGGCUCUUGCAACGAUGAAGAACGCAGCGAAAUGCGAUACGUAGUGUGAAUUGCAGAAUUCCGCGAAUCAUCGAGUCUUUGAACGCAAGUUGCGCCCGAGGCUUGUCCGAGGGCAUUUCCGCUAGAGCGUCACCGCGCUCCCCCACCGACCCCCGCUACCAAGUGGUGAGGUCGAGUGGAAGUGGCCGUCCCGAUGGGAGGCGGCGGUGUUCUUCACCGCCGUCGAUCGGGUCGGCUGAAAUGUAUGGAAUUCGGCCGUCGUGGCGACGGAGCCCGCGAUCAGGUGAUCCGAGCGAGAGCCCGGAACUCAAAYGUGCGUGGCUGCGUCGCCCAGUUGGGUUGGGUAUGGAUAUACCACUAUGAAAGAGCUGGCGCGAGUUGGCUUCGGUAAUACGGGUACACCWUGCGAAACGAGUUCCACUUGGGAUGUGAAAGCAGGUCUGCGUGUUCGGAAGAAAUCCUUCGUAAAAAAAAGGUGAGGACACGCGCGUCACGCAUCAGA
Molecule: small RNA, 799 nt
Filed under: Bartramia halleriana
Lineage: Eukaryota; Viridiplantae; Streptophyta; Bryopsida; Bartramiales; Bartramiaceae
Description: eukaryotic LSU rRNA
Rfam family: 5.8S ribosomal RNA (bases 277-429)
Source: RNAcentral